UGGGGAAUAUUGCACAAUGGGCGCAAGCCUGAUGCAGCCACGCCGCGUGUAUGAAGAAGGCCUUCGGGUUGUAAAGUACUUUCAGCGGGGAGGAAGGCGAUAAGGUUAAUAACCUUGUCGAUUGACGUUACCCGCAGAAGAAGCACCGGCUAACUCCGUGCCAGCAGCCGCGGUAAUACGGAGGGUGCAAGCGUUAAUCGGAAUUACUGGGCGUAAAGCGCACGCAGGCGGUCUGUCAAGUCGGAUGUGAAAUCCCCGGGCUCAACCUGGGAACUGCAUUCGAAACUGGCAGGCUAGAGUCUUGUAGAGGGGGGUAGAAUUCCAGGUGUAGCGGUGAAAUGCGUAGAGAUCUGGAGGAAUACCGGUGGCGAAGGCGGCCCCCUGGACAAAGACUGACGCUCAGGUGCGAAAGCGUGGGGAGCAAACA
RNAcentral lists this ribosomal RNA (427 nucleotides) under uncultured bacterium. Its description in RNAcentral is "partial 16S ribosomal RNA". It matches the Rfam family "Bacterial small subunit ribosomal RNA", at positions 355 to 774 of the family's 1533-position model. The record is from RNAcentral.